Molecule: long non-coding RNA, 5379 nt
Filed under: Homo sapiens (human)
Lineage: Eukaryota; Metazoa; Chordata; Mammalia; Primates; Hominidae
Description: non-protein coding lnc-CADM2-3:13
Source: RNAcentral
AGAAGUAUGACACUCACAGUGAAAGCACAAAACAUCAAGCCAACAGUUCAGGACUAGUCAUUCAAAUGGACUAAAGGUGGGGGAGAAAAAAUAAGAGUGGAUAAAAGAAAGAAAGAAAACAGAGAAAGGUGGGAAAAAAAAAACAAAGGAAGGAAGAGAGAAAAGAGAAUGAGAGGAAGAGAAGGAAGGGGAAAAACAAGAUUGACUUUACAGUAUGAGAUAUACUAUUAUAUAUUGGACCCUUGGUGGGCAGUGCCUAAACAGAGACAACUACAGGUUUCUGGCUGUGGCCACUCUCUGGUGAAACUAAGGGGUUUCUGUGUGGAGGUGCCUAACAGCCACCGUCCAGUUUGGGUAAAGAAAGCUUUUUAUGGUUCACUAAGGACAAUCAACCCCUUCGCAAUCUAGAACCAAAAGACUGGAUCUUCUGAGAACAUCUACUGUAAGAACUAUAGUUACACAACAGACUUUGAAUUCUCUUGUGAAAGUUAAGGUAGAAUUGGCUGAACAGAGGAGUAUCUGUGCGGCUGCUGGCAUUUGUGGCUUAUGGAGAAACACAUUAAAUGAAGAUUACAGAGAUUCAUUGGCAGGGGAUUAACAGAGAUUGCUUAAUUAAUAGUAUGAUGCCUCUGGCUUCCCUCUAUCACACGUCUUCUUUUCGAGUAAAGGUUUUUCAUAAAUGUGAGCGUGGAAGAAGAAACCAGUUAAAUAUGGAACUUCACACCAGGACACAAAAGAUGGUGUCAGAAGCGGAUCCGAAGUGGAACUUUUAGUGACCCUCAGGAGCACUGAAUGAACAUGCAAGGAACCUGCAGGACCCACUUGUGUCCAUUGAUCUCUGGGAGCAGCUGGGAUAAGCUCCUUUUCGGAUUUCAGAGCUCCAUGGACUUGUGUCUUGAGAUCCCUGAGUUUCUUUGAGCAAAUUUCUGAUCCAAAAUGGGUUUGGCAUCAUGGCAGAAACAGGACUGGGUCCACGAAUGGAUUUGAUCCAGGAAUGAACUGGCUUGGAUCCAGUCAGAGGUCUCUUACAUCUGACUGGGUCAGAAAGGAACUGGUAGUAAGCAGUAAUAUUGCAGAGGUUAUAACAUUUGGCUUUUAAAAAAUAACAGGAAUUUUUGUGUUCUACCUCCUAUGUUAAAUUUUUCUUGUAUACUUAGGUAGAAAAAAGUCAUUGGCUAAGUUAAUCAAGAGAACCUGAGAGUAAAGCCAAUAUUUUAGCAGGAUGGUGUGGCAAGCUGAGUCACUAAGGCUGCUCAGGGAAAGGGAACCCAGAAUCUUGGCAUGCCGGCAAAAGGCCCAUGGUUCACUGAGGACAACUCCUUUGCAAUCUAGAACCCAAAGAUUGGAUCUUCUGAGAACAUCAGAGAAAGACUGUCCUUGCCAUCCACACUACAGCAAAGCUUUGGAGCCUUGAACCUUGGGUUCAUGAUCUUACAACUGAGAAGGGCCCCUCCACACUCCUGAACUGUACAACCAUUGAAACUCUUAAGGUAAAAUUAACUAGGAAAGUUUAUCUCCUUAAGAAGAUGGCAUCCUUGAUGUGAACAGCUUUUCCCAAGAUCCUGGAUCAAAACGUCUACUAUCACGAGACUCUUAUAUUUGAAUAUAUUUUCCGGUUUAUGCCUUUAGGAACAAUUGAAAUGAAAGGGGGAUCUAUUAUGUGCACUUAUAGGGUAUACUUUUAUUUGUGAAGGAUUUUGCAUCCAGCCUUAUAUGAAUAACCUUGUACUUUAAUAGAUAAAAGAUGAAGGCUCAAUGUAGGUGAGAAAAUGUAGUGGUACAUAUGUUGCCUCAUAAUCAGUCAAAACUCUUCUUAACCCACAUAAUGGAUUAAAGAGAAUAUUGCCAGGAGGCCUUCGCUUUUCUAAAAUGACAUCAUUUGUUAGGUCCUUUUUCCAUAGUUUAGUAUAAAAGAGGCAAUAAUUAGAAAUGUCACCCUCAUAAUAGGCUCUACAGCAAAUUCUACUUUAAAGGCUAUUGUUACACAACAGACUUUAAAUUAUCUUGUAAAAGUUAUGCUAAAUAAUAGAAUUGGCCAAACAGAAAAGUACCUGUGCAGUUGCUGACACCUGUGGCCUAUGGAGAAAUACAUCAAAUGUAGAUUAUACAAUUUCAGUUGUAGGGGAUUAAUGAAAAGACCACCUAGUCAAGCAAGUAGGCUCUUCAUAUAGCUCAUUCUUUAAUCUAUUUAAUUUUACAUGGUUUGGUUUAUGGGGACCCUGGGUAAGGAGCACACUCCAAAUUUGUUAUUAUUCUCCCAGUACUCAUAAUGAUAGUCUCCCUGAUGUGCUAUAUUCUCUUAAAGGUUUUAAAUGUUUGCAUGCAGCCAUCUCUAGAACAUCAAAUGGUCUCUAUUCAACCAGAAUGACAAAAGCUGAAAGAAAUGUGUGACCCUGAGGAUAUCGUAACCUACGAAUGAUGUGCUGAGACUGGAAACCCUAAAUGAUGUUACUGAGAAUGGCACUAAGGCCUUAAGUUUUGGUCACACUGUCACCUAAGUGAGAACCUGGCUGAAAAGGGAGAAUUUUUAAACAACAAAAUUAGAGGAAGCCACUAUUUUGGACUGAGCUCAUGCACUAGGCCCCAACAAACGAAACCAAGCUAAAAUGGAGUCACUCAUCCUAAAUGUGACAUAAUCAAACCAAGGCUUUAAGAACACAGAUAGAUGCUAGAACAGACUACAUUUUGUUUUUCUCCUGUAAACAGGAUGUCUAUCAUAAGGAGGUACCGUCUACUCAGUCCUUAUUCUCUCCUUGCAAAACCCACUUUUCUACUGUUUCCCAGUGGGUUUCAAACCAUAUAAUACAUUUAUGAUAGUGAUAUUAACAUCAAUGACUAAGGUUUUGGUCAAUCUCUCAAAAUUGAGAAAAUGACCAAAAGAGGGAAAUGAUUGCUAAAGCAAACUAAAUAUGGCCUGGGAAGAACUCCAUAGUCUUAUAUUUGAGUUCUUGCAGAUGAACUGUAACUUAGCUUAAUAGUCAGACAAAACUGAAAACCUAACUUAAUAGUAUGCGUCUGUAACAAUGGCUGAGUGUUCGCUAAUCCCAGCGGCCAUACUUCAACCACUCAUAGACUGCUGAAAGUUCAAAGUGCAUUCAAAUAAGGCAAAAACGGAGCUUAACCAGCCUCACUGUUUCUGUAUCUCACUUCCGAUUCCUGUAUGUCACUUUACCUUUUUUGUCUAUAAAUGUGUUCUGACCACGAGGCACCCCAGGUCUCUGUGAAUCUGUUGUAAUUCUGGAGGUGCCUGAUUCGCCAAUCAUUCAUUGCUCAAUUAAACUCCUUUAAAUUUAACUCAGCUGGACUUUUCCUUUUAUCAGGUUGAAUUUUACAUAUCUACUUUAGAUUUUAAUUUCUUCUAUAAAUUAAAAUCUAAUCUUCCAUAAUUUCUGAUAAAAUGUUUGUUAAAUGAACUCAAUGCAUUGGACAAAAAUUUCCUGUUGCUUUUCUUUCAAAGUACAUAAAUUGAUGCUACUUUUUCCACCUUUCUCACAUUUUCUCUGUCCCAAUCUUACACUGGAGGUUCAAUAGUCUUCUUCAUGCCUCAAGUUCUUUCUCUUGUAAUAUGAAAGGCAUGUGGCCACUUUCCUUUUCUAAUUCUUUCAUAAAUCUAAACAUUUUCACUACCUAUUGGUUACUAUGCUCACCAUCUGGGUGAAGGCAUCAUUUGUACACAAAAUCUAUAAAAUAUACUAUUUACUUAUGUAAAAAACCUAAACAUGUACCUGCUGAACCUAAAAUAAAAGUUGAAAAAGAAAAAUAAAUAAAUAAUACCUUCCCAGAAUAUUGCCUAUAGGAACAAGUCUAAAUUCCUUAAUACAGAGUAAAAUGGUAAUAAAAUUCUUGCCCUGAUUUUCUUUCUUAGGCCUAUGUCAUUUCAACACUCCCCAUCACCAUUCUUCCCCAAUCUCUUCCAUUUUUUGAGUCUAAAAUCCUUAAUACAUUGAAUUUUUGUUCAAUAUUUGUUAUAUGCCCAAAACUAUGCUAAGCUGCUGGACUCGUGCUCUUUCACAAUUCCUUUUCUGUUCCUUUCAGACUAGUGAAAUGAUACUGAUUUUUAAUGAUCUGUCUUUUCUUGGAAAUUUCCUAUUUCCAAAUGUCAAAAAAAGAACUUAUAAUUUUUGUCUCUCCAUUUCCAUAACACUUAUCAAUGUCACUGACAUAGCCCUAAUAAUUAUGAGAUGUACAUUGUUAGUUACACACAUUUCUUGUUUUCCUACUUUUGAUGUCUUUAAGGUCAGAGAUUGUAUUUUACUCGUUUGUAUUCCUAUCAGAAAAAAAACUGUGGCUUACAUGUAAUAUACAUUCAGUAAUUGUUUGAAUGAAAAAUGUAUUAAAAUAGUAUGAGUAUCCAAGUUGGUGAUUCAAUUUAGUUAAUCUCUUCUGAUACCCCUACCCCAAAAAGGCAUAUGUAAAAGUGCAUAAAAUUGUGUGUAUGAAUAUGUAGAUCAAUAGAUAGAAGCAUCUGUGAACACAAAUAAGAAAUUUAGGAAAUGAUUAUCUUAGAAACUCUUUAGCAUCAAAUCUUAUUUAUUUAUUUAUUUAUUUGCUAUAGCUUUUGGGGAAAAGUUGGAUUUUUGUUACAUGGAUAAGUUCUCUUGUAGUAAUUCCUGAGAUUUUGGUGCACACUGUACCCAAUCUGUAUUCUUUAUUCCUCACCCCUCUCCCCGCAUUCCCCUUGAGUCUCUGAAGUCCCUUAUAUCAUUCUUACGCCUUUGCAGCCUCAUAACUUAGCUCCCACUUAUAAGUGAGAUCAUACAAAAUUUGGUUUUCCAUUCCUGAGUUACUUCACUUAGAAUAACUGUUUCCAGCUCCAUCCAGGUUGCUGAAAAUGCCAUUAUUUCAUUCAUUUUUAUGGCUGAGUAGUAUUCCAUGGUGUAUAUAUGCCACCUUUUCUUUAUUUACUCUUUGGCCAGUGGACAUUUAGGCUGAUUUCAUAUUUUUGCAAUUGUGAAUUUUGCUACUAUACACAUGUAUGUGCAAGUGUAUUUUUCAUACAAUGACUUCUUUUCCUCUGGGUAGAGACCCAGUAGUGCGAUUGCUGGAUGAAAUGCUAGUUCUACUUCUAGUUAUUUAAGGAAUCUCCAUACUGUUUUCCAUAUGGGUGGUACUAGUUUACAUUCCCAACAGCAGUAUAAAAGUGUUCCCUUUUCACCAUAUUCACGCUAAUAUUUAUUAUUUUUUAUUUUUAAUUAUGGUCAUUCUUGGAUCUCAUUGUAUUUUCAAUUUGCAUUUCCCUGGUAAUUAGAGAUGUUGAGCAUAUUUUCAUGUUUGUUGGCCAUUUGGAUAACUUUUUCUGAGAAUUGUCUGUUCAUGUCCUUUGCCCACUUUUUAAGUUUAAUUUAAUACUAAUCCUACUAUUAUAUAUAUAUAUAUAAG